This 450-nucleotide long non-coding RNA is filed under the name Felis catus (domestic cat). RNAcentral describes it as "lncRNA (ENSFCAG00000053674.1)". Lineage: Eukaryota; Metazoa; Chordata; Mammalia; Carnivora; Felidae. The record is from RNAcentral.
GCCCCGAGGGAUGCUCCUGGUCAGCCUCGCAGGAAACUAACCUUUUUAAACACCUGCCUUAAAGGCGCAGUGCAGUAUUUUCCCCCUGCUUUUUCUAACACAAGAAGAAACGCUGUAUACGUGCAAGCAAAACAGCCCAUGAGGAUUUCCAGCAGAUACAGUAAGUUUCAAGAUUGUGGGGGAAAAAACAAAGGAAAUAUUUUGCAGCUACAAGCCCUGAAAGACUGAAAACAAUAGAUCUGUCAUCAAUUCAAUAUCACGGAAGGAAAAUCUGUCAUUGUGAGACAUCCAGCGAACUCUAAGCCAAAGCUGUAAGACUGGACUGAAGCAAAAAAGGUCAUGGGAGGAAUGGACAAUAUACACAGUUGUUAACAGGUAGAAGUCGAGACCUCACUUCCACACAGGGAGUUCAGCCCACAUGUCCAAGAGCCUGGGGAUUUUUAAAAAUUA